AGCGGGAGUAGCUCAGGGGUAGAGCACUGCCUUGCCAAGGCAGGUGUCGCGGGUUCGAAUCCCGUCUUCCGCUCCAU
RNAcentral lists this transfer RNA (77 nucleotides) under Caldisericum exile AZM16c01. Its description in RNAcentral is "tRNA-Gly". It matches the Rfam family "tRNA". From Rfam's summary of the family: Transfer RNA (tRNA) molecules are approximately 80 nucleotides in length. Their secondary structure includes four short double-helical elements and three loops (D, anti-codon, and T loops). The record is from RNAcentral. Lineage: Bacteria; Pseudomonadati; Caldisericota; Caldisericia; Caldisericales; Caldisericaceae.